UACGUAGGGACCAAGCGUUGUUCGGAUUUACUGGGCGUAAAGCGCGUGUAGGCGGCUCGGUAAGUCUGCUGUGAAAGUCCAGGGCUCAACCCUGGAAUGCCGGUGGAUACUGUCGAGCUCGAGUCCGGAAGAGGCGAGUGGAAUUCCUGGUGUAGCGGUGAAAUGCGCAGAUAUCAGGAGGAACACCAAUGGCGAAGGCAGCUCGCUGGGACGUGACUGACGCUGAUACGCGAAAGCGUGGGGAGCAAACAGG
Molecule: ribosomal RNA, 253 nt
Filed under: uncultured bacterium
Lineage: Bacteria
Description: partial 16S ribosomal RNA
Rfam family: Bacterial small subunit ribosomal RNA
Source: RNAcentral